UUGUAACACCCGUCUCACCCUCUCUCGGGAACGGUGUGCCACGUGUAACAUCCGUCUCACCCUCUCUCGGGAACGGCAUGUUACCAUAAUUCACUUUACAACAAAUAACUCUUUUUCCAUAAACAUCCAAUUCUUUAUUAAAUACCAAGGCAAAAAUCCGAUAAAACAUACUAAAUCCAAAUAAGUCGAUAACACAACUGUUUAUUAAAAGUCUCGAAUAAAAAGGCGGAAAACGAGAAUCCAUCCCAAAUGACACACCCCGACUCAUCAAGUCAUAACUACUCGUCUGGCUCACCUGAAAUGGGGAAAGAGGGGUGAGCAACAGGGGAGUCGCUCAGUGAGGUAUGGGAUGCUAAUCCGCAUGUCACUGACUCAGCCAAGAAACUAAUCGCAAAAUAAUGGAGUACCAAAUAUGAGCAAACACAGCACCUACAGUGCUCAAUCAACAUACAAUUUUCCUAUUAAGGAAUAGUGGCCAAUCACAUCCUCAACGAGAUCAUUUAUGGGAUAGUGCCCAAUCACACCCUCUAACGAGGUAAUUUCUGGGAUAGUGCCCACGCACACCCUCUAACGAGGUAAUUUCUGGGAUAGUGCCCACGCACACCCUCUAACGAGGUAAUUUCUGGGAUAGUGCCCACGCACACCGCCCCUGGGACGCUUAUCGAUCUUAAGGUGCAGGGCAACAGAUCGAUUAUGUAUUGCCCUCACCCCUACCUCAAACAAUGCGGCACCAUACAGAAGUUCUUUUAUCUGUAUCCGCUAUAUCUCAAUAUAAUAUAUAUAUAUAUAUAUAUAUAUAUAUAUAUAUAUAUAUAUAUAUAUAUAUAUAUAACUAACAACAAACAUUUAAUAGUAUGUGACAAACAAAUGGGUUUAAUCAUCUAUCUUCCUAUGUCCAAUUUAAGCAAUCAAACUAACUAGACUCGAUCAUUGAAACACAUCACAUUCAGUGUUGCACUAUUCGUAAAUUAGAAUUCUCGAACAGAGCACAGCGGUUUGGAAAUAGCCCUCACCUUAGCAAUGCUGAAACUACGACUUCUGGACCUCGAAUGAAUAAACCGACUCCGGAUCUGAAAUCGGA
This 1081-nucleotide long non-coding RNA is filed under the name Arabidopsis lyrata. Its description in RNAcentral is "long non-coding RNA (ALYR_LNC000741)". Lineage: Eukaryota; Viridiplantae; Streptophyta; Magnoliopsida; Brassicales; Brassicaceae. The record is from RNAcentral.